RNAcentral lists this ribosomal RNA (424 nucleotides) under uncultured bacterium. RNAcentral's name for it is "partial 16S ribosomal RNA". It matches the Rfam family "Bacterial small subunit ribosomal RNA", at positions 360 to 776 of the family's 1533-position model. The record is from RNAcentral.
AAUAUUGGACAAUGUGCGAAAGCCUGAUCCAGCCAUGCCGCGUGUGUGAAGAAGGUCUUCGGAUUGUAAAUCACUUUAAGUUGGGAGGAAUGGCAGUAAGUAAAUACCUUGCAAUUUUGUCGUUACCAACAGAAUAAGCACCGGCUAACUUCGUGCCAGCAUCCGCGGUAAUACGAAGGGUGCAAGCGUUAAUCGGAAUUACUGGGCGUAAAGCGCGCGUAGGUGGUUCGUUAAGUUGGAAGUGAAAGCCCCGGGCUUAACCUGGGAAUUGCUUUCAAAACUGACGAGCUAGAGUACGGUAGAGGGUGGUGGAAUUUCCUGUGUAGCGGUGAAAUGCGUAGAUAUAGGAAGGAACAUCAGUGGCGAAGGCGACUACCUGGACUGAUACUGACACUGAGGUGCGAAAGCGUGGGGAGCAAACAGG